This 439-nucleotide ribosomal RNA is filed under the name uncultured bacterium. RNAcentral describes it as "partial 16S ribosomal RNA". It matches the Rfam family "Bacterial small subunit ribosomal RNA", at positions 338 to 795 of the family's 1533-position model. The record is from RNAcentral.
CCUACGGGCGGCAGCAGUAGGGAAUAUUGCUCAAUGGGGGAAACCCUGAAGCAGCAACGCCGCGUGGAGGAUGAAGGUUUUAGGAUUGUAAACUCCUUUUGUGAGAGAAGAUAAUGACGGUAUCUCACGAAUAAGCACCGGCUAACUCCGUGCCAACAGCCGCGGUAAUACGUAGGGAGCAAGCGUUGUCCGGAAUUACUGGGUGUAAAGGGAGCGGAGGGGGGGAUGCAAGAUGGGUGUCAAUACUAACGGCUAAACCGAGAGUCGCACUCGAAACUGCAACUCUUGAGUGUAGUAGAGGCAGGCGGAAUUCCAGGUGUAGCGGUGAAAUGCGUAGAUAUUAGGAGGAACACCAGUGGCGAAGGCGGCCUGCUGGGCUUUUACUGACGCUGAGGCUCGAAAGUGUGGGGAGCAAACAGGAUUAGAUACCCCUGUAGUC